AUUGAACGCUGGCGGCAGGCCUAACACAUGCAAGUCGAACGGUAGCACAGAGAGCUUGCUCUCGGGUGACGAGUGGCGGACGGGUGAGUAAUGUCUGGGAAACUGCCCGAUGGAGGGGGAUAACUACUGGAAACGGUAGCUAAUACCGCAUAACGUCGCAAGACCAAAGUGGGGGACCUUCGGGCCUCACACCAUCGGAUGUGCCCAGAUGGGAUUAGCUAGUAGGUGGGGUAAUGGCUCACCUAGGCGACGAUCCCUAGCUGGUCUGAGAGGAUGACCAGCCACACUGGAACUGAGACACGGUCCAGACUCCUACGGGAGGCAGCAGUGGGGAAUGUUGCACAAUGGGCGCAAGCCUGAUGCAGCCAUGCCGCGUGUAUGAAGAAGGCCUUCGGGUUGUAAAGUACUUUCAGCGGGGAGGAAGGCGGUGAAGUUAAUAGCUUCACCGAUUGACGUUACCCGCGGAAGAAGCACCGGCUAACUCCGUGCCAGCCGCCGCCGUAA
RNAcentral lists this ribosomal RNA (504 nucleotides) under uncultured bacterium. RNAcentral describes it as "partial 16S ribosomal RNA". It matches the Rfam family "Bacterial small subunit ribosomal RNA", at positions 30 to 523 of the family's 1533-position model. The record is from RNAcentral.